Molecule: ribosomal RNA, 1043 nt
Filed under: uncultured archaeon
Lineage: Archaea
Description: bacterial SSU rRNA
Rfam family: Archaeal small subunit ribosomal RNA
Source: RNAcentral
UCCGUUUGAUCCUGGCGGAGGCCACUGCUAUCGGAGUUCGAUUAAGCCAUGCGAGUCGAGAGGUGUAAGACCUCGGCAUACUGCUCAGUAACACGUGGACAACCUACCCUGAAGAGGGGGAUAACCCCGGGAAACUGGGGAUAAUACCCCAUAGACUAUGGAUGCUGGAAUGCUUUGUAGUUGAAAGGUCCGCCGCUUCAGGAUGGGUCUGCGGCCGAUUAGGUUGUUGUUGGGGUAACGGCCCAACAAGCCUGUAAUCGGUACGGGUUGUGGGAGCAAGAGCCCGGAGAUGGAUUCUGAGACACGAAUCCAGGCCCUACGGGGCGCAGCAGGCGCGAAAACUUUACAAUGCGAGCAAUCGUGAUAAGGGAACUCCGAGUGCCUGUAAAAUCAGGCUGUCCGCCAGUGUAAAUAACUGGUGAAGAAAGGGCCGGGCAAGACCGGUGCCAGCCGCCGCGGUAAUACCGGCGGCUCGAGUGGUGGCCACUAUUACUGGGCUUAAAGCGUUCGUAGCUGGUCUGUUAAGUCUCUGGGGAAAUCUUCCGGCUUAACCGGAAGGCGUCUCAGGGAUACUGGCAGACUAGGGACCGGAAGAGGUGAGAGGUACUCCAGGGGUAGGAGUGAAAUCCUGUAAUCCUUGGGGGACCACCUGUGGCGAAGGCGUCUCACCAGGACGGCUCCGACAGUGAGGAACGAAAGCUGGGGGAGCAAACCGGAUUAGAUACCCGGGUAGUCCCAGCUGUAAACGAUGCGCGUUAGGUGUAUCGGUGACCACGAGUCACCGAGGUGCCGAAGAGAAAUCGUGAAACGCGCCGCCUGGGAAGUACGGUCGCAGGGCUGAAACUUAAAGGAAUUGGCGGGGGAGCACCACAACGGGUGGAGCCUGCGGUUUAAUCGGACUCAACGCCGGGAAACUCACCGGACAAGACAGCUGAAUGAUAGUCGGGCUGAAGACUCUACUUGACUAGCUGAGAGGAGGUGCAUGGCCGUCGUCAGUUCGUACUGUGAAGCAUCCUGUUAAGUCAGGCAACGAGCGAGACCCA